This 600-nucleotide ribosomal RNA is filed under the name uncultured bacterium. RNAcentral describes it as "bacterial SSU rRNA". It matches the Rfam family "Bacterial small subunit ribosomal RNA", at positions 99 to 694 of the family's 1533-position model. The record is from RNAcentral.
CGAACGGGUGAGUAAUGCAUCGGAACGUACCUUUCAGUGGGGGAUAACGUAGCGAAAGUUACGCUAAUACCGCAUAUUCUGUGAGCAGGAAAGCAGGGGAUCGCAAGACCUUGCGCUGAUUGAGCGGCCGAUGUCAGAUUAGCUAGUUGGUGAGGUAAAGGCUCACCAAGGCGACGAUCUGUAGCGGGUCUGAGAGGAUGAUCCGCCACACUGGAACUGAGACACGGUCCAGACUCCUACGGGAGGCAGCAGUGGGGAAUUUUGGACAAUGGGGGCAACCCUGAUCCAGCCAUGCCGCGUGAAGGAUGAAGGCCUUCGGGUCGUAAACUUCUGUCGAGAGGGAAGAAUGUGUACGGGUGAACAAUCCGUGCAUUUGACGGUACCUCCAAAGGAAGCACCGGCUAACUCCGUGCCAGCAGCCGCGGUAAUACGGAGGGUGCAAGCGUUGUUCGGAUUCAUUGGGCGUAAAGCGAGUGUAGGCGGUUUGACAAGUCGGAUGUGAAAUCCCGGGGCCCAAACCCGGAACUGCAUCCGAUACUGUCUGGCUAGAGUCCCGGAGAGGGUGGCGGAAUUCCCAGGUGUAAGGGUGAAAUCCGUAGA